CGUGGGUAACCUGCCCUUGAGUCUGGGAUAACCCGGGGAAACCCGGGCUAAUACCGGAUACGGCUGCGGGGUCUUCGGAUCCUGCAGAGAAAGAUGGCCUCUUCAUGAAUGCUAUCUCUCAAGGAUGAGCCCGCGUCCUAUUAGCUAGUUGGUGGGGUAACGGCCCACCAAGGCGAAGAUGGGUAGCUGGUCUGAGAGGAUGACCAGCCACACUGGAACUGAGACACGGUCCAG
RNAcentral lists this ribosomal RNA (234 nucleotides) under uncultured bacterium. Its description in RNAcentral is "partial 16S ribosomal RNA". It matches the Rfam family "Bacterial small subunit ribosomal RNA", at positions 116 to 334 of the family's 1533-position model. The record is from RNAcentral.